AGAACCAGAUCCAACCUUCUCGAUGGCCUUGACAACAUCCAGUCCCUCGACAACCUGUCCGAAGACCACGUGCUUGCCGUCGAGCCACUCGGUCUUGGCGGUGCAGAUGAAGAACUGAGAUCCGUUGGUCCCAGGGCCAGCAUUUGCCAUGGAGAGGAUUCCAGGACCAGUGUGCUUCUUCACGAAGUUCUCAUCAGCGAAUUUAGCUCCAUAGAUCGAUUCACCACCGGUACCGUUCCCAGCUGUGAAGUCUCCGCCCUGGCACAUGAAAUUAGGGAUCACGCGGUGGAAGGAUGAUCCUUUGUAGUGCAAAGGCUUGCCGGAUUUUCCAAAGCCUUUCUCGCCUGUGCAAAGAGCACGGAAGUUCUCUGCAGUCUUGGGGACGACAUCGGCGUAGAGCUCCAUGACAAUACGCCCAGCCGGUUGGCCGCCGAUCGUCAUGUCGAAGAAAACCUUAGGAUUUGCCAUUUCUAUGAAUUUUGAUAAUUUUUCUCACCAGUUAGGUCUAAUUUUAUUUGGUAGGUGGUGAGCGGUGAGUUGUUGUUUAUAUAGCAGCCAGUGAAGGAUGGUUAUCCACUGAGAAAUGAUCUUGGCCGUUUAAUAUUGACACGCGUAAAUCUGGAUAAUCCGAUUAAUAAGAUAACGAAGACCGUUGAUGAAAGUAACCGUGGUUAGAUUAAUUACAUUUUCUUAACCACGGUUAAGUUUUGAAUUUGGA
RNAcentral lists this long non-coding RNA (718 nucleotides) under Olea europaea (common olive). Its description in RNAcentral is "long non-coding RNA (OEUR_LNC006083)". The record is from RNAcentral. Lineage: Eukaryota; Viridiplantae; Streptophyta; Magnoliopsida; Lamiales; Oleaceae.